AUAGUAUGGAUGGAUGAUAUAAAAGAUUCUUUUAUUGAAACAAAUGUUCCAUUACUAUUACAUCGCCAAGUCUUAAAAAAGCUUGGUUAGAGUUAAGAAAAUUUUGGCACAGUUAUUUUGUGUGAUACAUCAGGCUUGUUUAGAGCAUAAGUUUCGUACUUACCAUCUAUCUGGCCGCAUUCUAUGUACAUGGGCUCUUUGAGUACCGAUAGGGUGUAUGGUGACUUCCGGUAACUGCCAAUAAUUUGUCUUUAUUACAAAACUUUGAAUAAAAUCAUACUUG
This 283-nucleotide unclassified non-coding RNA is filed under the name Neanuridae sp. TUZ:031521. RNAcentral describes it as "sequence contains ITS2". The record is from RNAcentral. Lineage: Eukaryota; Metazoa; Arthropoda; Collembola; Poduromorpha; Neanuridae.